This 74-nucleotide transfer RNA is filed under the name Herbaspirillum seropedicae. RNAcentral's name for it is "tRNA-Arg". It matches the Rfam family "tRNA". From Rfam's summary of the family: Transfer RNA (tRNA) molecules are approximately 80 nucleotides in length. Their secondary structure includes four short double-helical elements and three loops (D, anti-codon, and T loops). Lineage: Bacteria; Pseudomonadati; Pseudomonadota; Betaproteobacteria; Burkholderiales; Oxalobacteraceae. RNAcentral also lists the same sequence under 1 other name. The record is from RNAcentral.
CUGCCCUUAGCUCAACUGGAUAGAGCAAUGGCCUUCUAAGCCAUAGGUCGGGGGUUCGAGUCCCUCAGGGCAGG